RNAcentral lists this ribosomal RNA (253 nucleotides) under uncultured bacterium. Its description in RNAcentral is "partial 16S ribosomal RNA". It matches the Rfam family "Bacterial small subunit ribosomal RNA", at positions 524 to 776 of the family's 1533-position model. The record is from RNAcentral.
UACGGAGGGGGUUAGCGUUGUUCGGAAUUACUGGGCGUAAAGGGUGCGUAGGCGGUUUGUUAAGUCUGUUGUGAAAUCCCCGGGCUCAACCUGGGAAUGGCAAUGGAUACUGGCAAGCUAGAGUGUGUCAGAGGAUGGUGGAAUUUCCGGUGUAGCGGUGAAAUGCGUAGAGAUCGGAAGGAACAUCAGUGGCGAAGGCGGCCAUCUGGGACAACACUGACGCUGAAGCACGAAAGCGUGGGGAGCAAACAGG